Molecule: long non-coding RNA, 516 nt
Organism: Dreissena polymorpha
Lineage: Eukaryota; Metazoa; Mollusca; Bivalvia; Myida; Dreissenidae
Exons: 2
Source: RefSeq, a predicted model, not a curated record
AAUUAUUAUGGCUGUAUUUUAUGGUUAUUGUCAUCUUAAAAUUUAUUUAUACCUAUUUCUUGUCAUUAAUGAACAGAUUUCUUUCCCCCAUAUUUAAUCAGAACUUUAAUAUUUUAUAUUUGAAGGUUAAACCCCAAGGUGAAAUUUACAUUGAUCGGAAGAUCCAUUGGACAGAAUGUGCAUCAUCGCCUGCCAAAAAAGGGAGCAAAAAGGGGACUACCUGAUGUAUGGACAUGUAUACCAGGCCAACUUGAGGGGAACAGGAGUGGAAAACCGUGCCCUGUAGCUUGUCCUUGACCAAGAAAAGAUGGAUUUGUUGAGAGGACCUGAUCUCAAAUGAGAUCAUGCACGAGAAGCGCCUCGCAGACCAUGACAGUAGUAUUCAGACCUGAUCAGCUGGUGAAGUGCUCUAUAAAGGGUUGUUUAUGAAUGCAUUCUUUGUAAGGAACAGUGUAUAACAACAAAUAUAGUGACAGGGGCUAAGCUGCUAAAUAUUGUCAGCAUGUAUGCAGUGAU